GACGAACGCUGGCGGCGUGCUUAACACAUGCAAGUCGAACGGAAAGGCCCUGCUUUUGUGGGGUGCUCGAGUGGCGAACGGGUGAGUAACACGUGAGUAACCUGCCCUUGACUUUGGGAUAACUUCAGGAAACUGGGGCUAAUACCGGAUAGGAGCUCCUGCUGCAUGGUGGGGGUUGGAAAGUUUCGGCGGUUGGGGAUGGACUCGCGGCUUAUCAGCUUGUUGGUGGGGUAGUGGCUUACCAAGGCUUUGACGGGUAGCCGGCCUGAGAGGGUGACCGGCCACAUUGGGACUGAGAUACGGCCCAGACUCCUACGGGAGGAAGCAGUGGGGAAUAUUGCACAAUGGGCGGAAGCCUGAUGCAGAAACGCCGCGUGCGGGAUGACGGCCUUCGGGUUGUAACCCGCUUUCGCCUGUGACGAAGCGUGAGUGACGGUAAUGGGUAAAGAAGCACCGGCUAACUACGUG
Molecule: ribosomal RNA, 468 nt
Filed under: uncultured bacterium
Lineage: Bacteria
Description: partial 16S ribosomal RNA
Rfam family: Bacterial small subunit ribosomal RNA
Source: RNAcentral